Molecule: long non-coding RNA, 1291 nt
Filed under: Homo sapiens (human)
Lineage: Eukaryota; Metazoa; Chordata; Mammalia; Primates; Hominidae
Description: HSALNT0300287
Source: RNAcentral
CGACAUGGAGCCAGUGUGUGCUAUUGAAUUGUUGGCAAUUAUUUCUAAAAUUAAAAUGUUUAACCACAUUAACCCAUAAUAAAAUGGGGGGAGAGCUAUAGAGGUGCAACUCUUUACUGAGUAGGAUAAAUGUGCAAAUUCCUGGCAUAAUUUGUCUCAGCCACCUGCAUUGGGAGAGCCAUCUCACCUGCCUGAGAAAUGAAUUUGGGGCCCAGGGGCCUGGUGGGCCAGGAAGUCACUGAUCAAAGCUUGGCUUCCAGGCGGUGGCUGUGUCCACCAGGCACUGUGCGGGCUGGAGUUGGACUUCUACAGGUCACUGGGUUUAAGGGUGGGAUGGGAAGCACUGUCUUUGGUGUUUUCCAGAGCGGGGCACUUGAGAUGUUCAAAGUGCUUCCUGAGAGACGGCCAAAGGGUGUUCCCUGGGUGGCCUGGGAGUCCAAGAGACAUGUACUCUGGGGCAGGAAGAGGGCAGGUGAGUACCUGGCUCAGGGUCUGCUGGGAGAUGGAAGGAGGGAGCCAGUCAAGGGCAGGAGGAAACGGAGUUGCGAGUCAUCUGGUGACCGACAGUGAUUCUGGGUGACUUCCAUCCCGGCCUUAGGGAUUCCUCUGGAUAGGAUCACAGGGCUGGCUCUGGCGAGGGUACAAAAGUCCUUAGUCAUGCGCAUGUACAUCAGCACAGCUUUUCAUGGUAUACGCAUCAUCUCACUGACAGGUGCUACCGGAUCACCCUAACAACCCUCUGGGACCUGUGGCCAUGUGUUCACAACAGCAGCCAUUACAGGUGUUUCCUGAACUCUUGUCGCGAGCCUCUGUCGGCUCCAUCUCAUCGAUCCUCCCAGCAACCCACAAGGAAGGUGAGGUUUCUUUACAGAUGAGGAAACUGGGGCGUUUGGCUAAAGUUGUUGAUUUGCCAGAGUCCCACAGCAGUGGCUUCACAGAGAGGCAGAUGCCACACAGGCCACCCACCCAGAUGCAGAGCCAGAUUCCCUGCGUGGACUGGACGGGAGUUUCCCAGCUGGAGUUCUCUCGGCCAAGCUGCCUGUGACAUGGGGUUGGAGGUGCUCCAGAGAGUCAUGGCCACCCCUGGAGGAAGUGACUUGUGGCUGACUGCUCAAGGGGAAGUCCUGUGGCAGUGGAGUCGUCAGCAUUAAUUCAAAUAAGGUGAGCAACAAGGAAUACCGAGAGGAGGUUUCCACACCAUGAACAAACAUGGCACCAGGAUCUGGAAGCUCCGGGCUUCUCCGUCUUCUAGAAUUCUGGGAGCCUCACAUGGCCCCCUCCUUGGCGAGUG